UCUGCCACCUACAGGUAUAGCAUGUAUUUCUUUUGUACCACACAUGUAUCAGUAGGUGACAGAGAAGGGAGGGGUUGUGUCUCUGAUCAGUAUUCUGGCCUAUAAACAUCUGAAUGGUUAGUAGCCAAGCAUU
Molecule: small nucleolar RNA, 133 nt
Organism: Rattus norvegicus (Norway rat)
Lineage: Eukaryota; Metazoa; Chordata; Mammalia; Rodentia; Muridae
Product: small nucleolar RNA SNORA17
Source: Ensembl